GACGAACGCUGGCGGCGUGCUUAACGCAUGCAAGUCGAACGGAAAGGCCCUGCUUUUGUGGGGUGCUCGAGUGGCGAACGGGUGAGUAACACGUGAGUAACCUGCCCUUGACUUUGGGAUAACUUCAGGAAACUGGGGCUAAUACCGGAUAGGAGCUCCUGCUGCAUGGUGGGGGUUGGAAAGUUUCGGCGGUUGGGGAUGGACUCGCGGCUUAUCAGCUUGUUGGUGGGGUAGUGGCUUACCAAGGCUUUGACGGGUAGCCGGCCUGAGAGGGUGACCGGCCACCUUGGGACUGAGAUACGGCCCAGACUCCUACGGGAGGCAGCAGUGGGGAAUAUUGCACAAUGGGCGGAAGCCUGAUGCAGCAACGCCGCGUGCGGGAUGACGGCCUUCGGGUUGUAAACCGCUUUCGCCUGUGACGAAGCGUGAGUGACGGUAAUGGGUAAAGAAGCACCGGCUAACUACGUG
This 468-nucleotide ribosomal RNA is filed under the name uncultured bacterium. Its description in RNAcentral is "partial 16S ribosomal RNA". It matches the Rfam family "Bacterial small subunit ribosomal RNA", at positions 28 to 507 of the family's 1533-position model. The record is from RNAcentral.